Leopardus geoffroyi (Geoffroy's cat) is the source of this 1363-nucleotide long non-coding RNA. RefSeq lists it as uncharacterized. NCBI's taxonomy places the organism in Eukaryota, Metazoa, Chordata, Mammalia, Carnivora, Felidae. The record is from RefSeq and is a predicted model, not a curated record. The transcript is spliced from 4 exons.
AUGAGUGGCAGGUCAGUGGCAGGAGCUUGAGGGAGAGCGGAGUGAGGUCACAGAAGUUGCCAUGGGGAAGGAUGGGUAGCCACUGCAAGGUCCUGACUUAUGCCCACCACUGUGGCUUCUGAGAAAAAGAUAGACUGUCGGGCAGACGGGCACAGAAGAACAGGUCUAGGAACAAGGCAGUCGUAACUGUGGGAAAUGUUGAUCGGAAGCAUGAUAGAGCCUGCAUUGCUCUGCAGGCCACCUGGAGAGUUCUGGACAGAAUAUACCCUACAGGCCAAUGUACCUGUGACAGCUACCCUCCCACACCAGACUCAAACUGAAAUACUGAGUUGGCCUUCAGACUAGAACUUAUACCAUCAGCUUUCCUGAAUCUCCGGCUUACCAACUGUGGAUCUUGGGACUUCUGAGCCUCCAUAAUCAUGCCAGGUCACUGGUGACUUUCCCAAAAAACCUCUUCAAAAAAUCUGGGAGUCUGGAGAUCCCCAAGCUGGGCCUCCCGUUCUGCAGCCUUGGCAAGCCUCACCAUGUCCUUGAGUAAUGCCUGUCCCUGAGAACCAUCACCCCCAAGGUCCACUGAGCCAACCUGAACAGCAGGGGGCAAAGGAGUUAAGGGCCUGGCCCUGCCCUGGCUCUGCCUCUUAACCCCAAGUGCCUACUUGUCCUGUGAGCUAUACGCCCAUACUGCCUACCUCCCAGCUCCAACACAUGCAGUCCCUGGGCUUGUCACACCACAGACGUCCUGGACUCCCAGGACUCAUUUUUUAAGGCAUCUGAGUAUCCACAUUUCUCAGGAAUCAUUCUCAAAAAUCCCCAUUUCUCCCUAAUGAAUGCUCCUGGCAUCUACUGGUGGUCAUGAAAUGGGCCAAGUCACUGAAAGAACCAUUUGUCAACUCUGUACUGACAACAUCACUGGGGCUGCAGGUAAGUGGAUGCCAGACUCCGGGGUCUGGGGUCUGGCCCAGCUCUGCUGAGGACUCCGGAGGGGACCUUCUCUGUGUAUAUCAGAAGGUAUCUGAGUUUCAGUUCCCACAAAGGCAGAUGCCGAGACAAGGAUUUGCUUCAAGGCGUCUAUCUGGCAGGUGUUUGGGGGAGGCACAGUGAGUGAGGCAACAGAGGAGGACGGCUUGGGAUCCCAGAGAGCACUCGGGAACCGCAGAAAGUCUGGCUCCAGAGCCCGAGUGCAUGACAUGGCUGUGCCCCUGUCUCUUGGCCAGUUAAACUCACAUGAAGAUCCGAGAUAGAACGGUGAAAAGCUCUGACGCAGAGUCAGUGCUCUGGAAACAGCAGUUGCUAUGAUAAUAGUUAUGAGAACCCCUGUGAGGAUUAAAUAACACACUGAGAUAGCCCAGUCCUGCAUCGUCUC